RNAcentral lists this transfer RNA (72 nucleotides) under Sus scrofa (pig). It matches the Rfam family "tRNA". Rfam says of the family: Transfer RNA (tRNA) molecules are approximately 80 nucleotides in length. Their secondary structure includes four short double-helical elements and three loops (D, anti-codon, and T loops). The record is from Rfam by way of RNAcentral. Lineage: Eukaryota; Metazoa; Chordata; Mammalia; Artiodactyla; Suidae.
UCCUUGGCGGUCUUGUGGUUAGGAUUCAGCACUCUCACUGCUGUGGCCCAAGUUCAAUCCCUGGUCUAGAAA